UUCUCUUUAGCAAAAGAGAAACCAUGAUUAAGACUAUCUCUUGAAUAUCCAAAAACUUUCAUGAAUGAACAUGUAUAUAGUAUACAUGAAGUUAAAAGAAACAUAUAAAAAAUCAAUUUCAAGUCCAUCUUUGAUAUCAAGAUACAAAACACGUAAGUUGUACUGUUAAUGCAUGUUGGGGGGAAAUAUUAACGACCCUUAAAGCCCAUUAAAAAAACGAUCAUGAAGGCCCAGGCCCACCUGAGGAAAUAAAGAUUGCCGUCAGCCCAACAUGGGAGGGGAGAGCCCCGCUCCGCCUCGUCCGACCCAGUACCCCGGGGUCGGACGCUCCCGACCCCUUGAUGACCAAACUCCGCCUUGCCCGACCCAGGGGCCUAGGGUCGGGAGCACCUGACUCCCCACCGCACGACUCCGCCUCGCCCGACCCAGGGGCCUAGGGUCGGGAGCACCCAACCCCCCGCCGCAAGACUCCGCCUCGCCCGACCCAGGGCGCAGGGGGUCGGACUCAUCCGGGCCCGCAAGACAAAUAUCCGCCUCGGGUGCAGACUGGAAGAUCAGGGCGUAGAUCUCGUGGGUCCCCCUAUCGACCUCGCCAUAAAUGUGCCGCGGCUCUGGCGCGCAGAAAGGCGCCCGCGCCCCCGACGCGACCCGCCACAAGUACCCAUGCGCGACCGUGUGAUGCAGGCUACAGUGGCCGCGGCUCCCUCCGAUUCGCUACAGGGCACUCAUGGCCUGCGCAGCCCGGCACAGGAGGAUGUCCCGCCCGUUCUCGCACCCCGCGCAUCCGGCGAUAGGGACGCGACGUCCACGUCCCACGGGCCAUCAGCAGGAUGGCAGGAUCAGCCGCCCUCCCCGACGGACACAGGUGCCACGACAGAACACCAUCAUCAAGCCUGGCGGCAACAGCCACAAUGGAAACCGUCGACAGGACUCGACGGCAGCCGCCCUCUUUCGGCGGACGCGCUGGCAGGAGCCGAAAGCCGGAGAGGAUGCCGACGGUCUAGGAACUUGGUCCCUCUCCUUAUCUUGUUUUUUACUUAACUUAGUUUAUCUCUUUUACUUCUCCUCACACCCGGUCUCACUUGUAACCCCGGUGGCCUCCUUGUGCUAUAAAAGGAGAACCGGGGGCCCCGAGACAGGGGAGGCAGGGGGAAGCCAUCAGAACUCUCACACUUUACUUUAAAGCAUCAGUGCACACCCGAGAGACUUGGGACCAGCUCCCUCUCUCGCCCUUCUGUAACCCCUACUACAGACCCCGCGUGGGCAACACGAGCAGCUCCCGAUACUGGACGUAGGGCUCUUCCUUGCCCGAACUAGUCUAAACCCCAUGUCUCCCACGCCACCAUCCGAAGCCUUACGCGCAUAAAAUAAAUUUACUAGUUUUAGUCUUGAUCCGCUAAUCUUGACAACGACAGUUGGUGCGCCAGGUAGGGGACCUUUGCGCGUACAUCACCGGCUUCAGAUGGCCAACCACGACGCCGGCUCCAAUGACGGGAGUCACCACCCCUCGCAAGAGUGCUUCAUGGCCGACGUGCACUCCGAGGGAUCCAACGACGACGGCGCGAAGGGAAGCAGUGCGCUUCCCUACCACGCGCCGCAGCUACGACUAAGGCCCUUGCCAGGGUCCCGGUGCGGCCACGACAGCCGGAGGCGCGCGCGGCGCCCCACCAGGAGGACGAGCACCGCCGCAACGAGGGUGGGGCGCGUCAUCGGGCCCGCGACGUCCAGCGGCGCAUCUGCGGGGAUGAGGAUCAUCCCCAACUCUUCGCACGCGCCAGCCAGAACGUCGCCACUGCGGCAGCCCUACUCCGACGACUCCCCGAUCCAGCAACGCCCGAGGAGUGACAGGCCCGCCAGGAGGUACGCGACUUGCUUGAGUGUGUAGCAGUCCAGCAAGCAGAAAGCUCCGCGUCCCGGCGUCGCACACACGGCGCCAGCAGGGUCACACCCUCCGCGCCUAUCGAGAGGCGUGGAGGAUCUAUCCAUCAACCUUCCUCCCACGGGGGAAACCGGGCCUCACCCAUUCAACGGACUCCACCACGCGCGGGCGACAUGGCUUCAUCUGUCCACCACCGUGUCGGCCCCAUCCGCGACGCCCGUGACGCCUUGGACGCGUGGAGGCUCUCCCGUGCGGACGGGGAGGAUAGAGCCGACCGUGGCUACCGCGUACACCGUGGUGGUCGCCACGACGGUGGAGAAAAUCGGAGCCCAAGCCCCAACCCAGCGGGGCCCAGGGCCUUCUCCGCACGCAUCCUGAACACGCCGUUCCCAGCGCGCUUCAGACAGCCCACCAAUGUGGCCAAAUACUCCAGGGAGAUGAACCCCGGACCUUGGCUCAGCGACUACCGACUUGCCUGUCAGGCCGGCGGAGCGGAUGACAACUUGUUCAUCAUUCGCAACCUCCCACUUUUCCUGGCCGACUCGCGCGAGCCUGGCUAGAACACGUUCCGUCAGGUCGGAUCCGUAACUGGAACGACAUGAAAGAAAUCUUUGUAGGCAACUUCCGGGGCACAUACAUGCACCCCGGUAACUCCUGGGACCUCCAGAGCUGCGGCCAGGGGUCGGGUGAGACUCUCCGGGAGUACAUCCGGCGCUUCUCCAGGAAACGCACCGAGCUCUCCAGCGUCGUCGAUGCCGACAUCAUCGGGGCCUUCCUGGCGGGGACCUCCUGUAGGUCUCUAGUUCACGAACUGGGACGUGUAGGCCCACGAACCACUAAGGAGCUCCUCGACAUCGCCGCCGACUUUGCCUCGGGCGAGGAGGCCAUCGGGGCGAUAUUCGAUCGCUCCAAAGGCAAAGCAAAGAGGGAGGAGGAUGCCGACGAAGGCGCCUCCAAUCGUCAGAAGAAGAAAAAGGCUGCGGCGGAACCUCGAAGGCUGCGGAGGGGCUUAAGCACGACAACGGACGAAGACGAUGAUGAUGAUAAUGAGGAUGAUGAUGAAGAAAGCUCUUUCGCUCUAUAAAGAACGCGCGGCAGACGAAAUACGAACCAACCGCAUCUAUUGCGACGUCAGGUACAUCCCGUCACCUCCGCCUUUUUCCGGAAACUGUACGCACGAUCUCUUUUUUAUCGCAGGAAACACCGCACCUCCUUACCCCACGAGCUCGGUGUUUUCUACCGCUUCAACUCCUGGAGAUCAUACGCACAACUUUCUCUGCAAUCGGACCACGGUCCGCUUCAGGUAAAAAAAGGAUACAGAGCUGAAAACGCUCUUACGGCCCAUUACGGUCCAGGGGUUCGAAGGCUGGCCCUCUAGAGGGUUUGACAGCCGUCCCAGGACAUCUCCCGAGCAAGGGGUGAGAAGGGACGGGUCCGCUAGCGGCCACCACCCAGGCGAGCAAAAGCCAAGGGCGUCCCGACCUCACGUUCGAGUCCGGACUGGCGUCUAAGUUCAUGGUUUUUCCCUGAAGAAAGGCAACGAGCCCCCGAAUCCGAUCGAAGGGACUCGGUAACUGUAUGAACUGGCCAGCCGGAAUCUGGAGUACGCCACCAGCUUGGCCCGAGCCGGACCCGCCCGAACGGGGACCGGGACUCCACUCGAACCGACCCAUUCCCAGCUCAACGAGCACCACGGUUCGUCCAACGAGGAUAGCGUGGCACGGCUCGCCUCCUCCGUCCCAGCGAACGGACGCUUGAGGGGUAACAUACAAAAGUCGACCUAGCCUCCCGACCGGUCCCCUGCAACGCGCGGGAGCUCGGAGGCUAGCCUCACAACCAAUGACCACGCGGAUGGUCAUGCCUUGAGGCUCUCAGACAGAAGGGAACAACAAGGAAUCCUCCCGCGCCGAGUCGCCCACAGGACGUUUCACCUGAUCAACCUCCUCGGCCAAGCCGCACAAACAACACUUCCCGUCCCUGAUUAACUGCAGCUUGCACGAUGAGAAGGGAUCCCCUAGGAACGGCGAUAGCAGCCUCUGGAGGAGCAUCCCCGCUCCACCACAGGCUCAGGGGCUACUGUUGGGGGAAAAUAUUAACGACCCCUUAAAGCCCAUUAAAACAACGAUCAUGAAGGCCCAGGCCCACCUGAGGAAAUAAAGAUUGCCGUCGGCCCAACAUGAGAGGAGAGAGCCCCGCUCCGCCUCGUCCGACCCAGUGCCCCAGGGUCGGACGCUCCCGACCCCUUGAUGACCAAACCCCGUCUCGCCCGACCCAGGGGCCUAGGGUCGGGAGCACCCGACCCCCCGCCGCAAGACUCCGCCUCGCCCGACCUAGGGCGCAGGGGGUCGGACUCAUCCGGGCCUGCAAGACAAAUAUCCACCUCGGGUGCAGACUGGAAGAUCAGGGCGCGGAUCUCGUGGGUCCCCCUAUCGACCUCGCCAUAAAUGUGCCGCGGCUCUGGCGCGCAGAAAGGCGCCCGCGCCCCCGACGCGACCCGCCACAAGUACCUAUGCACGACCGUGCGGUGCAGGCUACAGUGGCCGCGGCUCCCUCCGAUUCGCUACAGGGCACUCAUGGCCUGCGCCGCCCGGCACAGGAGGAAGUCCCGCCCGUUCUCGCGCCCUCCCACGGGCCAUCAGCAGGAUGGCAGGAUCAGCCGCCCUCCCCGACGGACACAGGUGCCACGACGGAACACCAUCAUCACGCCUAGCGGCAACAGCCACCAUGGAAACCGUCGACAGGAUUCGACGGCAGCCGCCCUCUUUCGGCGGACGCGCUAGCAGGAGCCGAAAGCCGGAGAGGAUGCCGGCGGUGUAGGAACUUGGUCCCUCUCCUUAUGUUGUUUUUUACUUAACUUAGUUUAUCUCUUUUACUUCUCCUCACACCCGGUCUCACUUGUAACCCUGGUGGCCUCCUUGCGCUAUAAAAGGAGAACCGGGGGCCCCGAGAUAGGGGAGGCAGUGGGAAGCCAUCAGAACUCUCACACUUUUUACUUUAGAGCAUUAGUGCACACCCGAUAGACUUGGUACCAGCUCCCUCUCUCGCCCUCCUGUAACCC
This 4937-nucleotide long non-coding RNA is filed under the name Setaria viridis. Its description in RNAcentral is "long non-coding RNA (SVIR_LNC010454)". The record is from RNAcentral. Lineage: Eukaryota; Viridiplantae; Streptophyta; Magnoliopsida; Poales; Poaceae.